Molecule: long non-coding RNA, 2512 nt
Organism: Gasterosteus aculeatus aculeatus (three-spined stickleback)
Lineage: Eukaryota; Metazoa; Chordata; Actinopteri; Perciformes; Gasterosteidae
Source: RefSeq, a predicted model, not a curated record
CACACACACACACACACACACACACACACAUACACACCCACCCCGGAGUCCUUCCCACUCCUUCCCCUCACGCGCGCUUUCUAUCCACUUCCAAGCUCGGUUUUAUUCCUCCUUUUUUCUUUUACUCGCCACUCUUUGCCUGGGUCGCGUCCUCGUGUUCGGAGGCGCCGUCACCCCUCCCCUGCAUGGCGCCCCUGAGAAAACGCAGGCCAUGGAUUGUCCCCGCCUAAUGACAAACUGCUUGUCCUUUCCCGUCAGCGUUUUUUUUCUAUUCUUUUGCAGUAAUUUUUUUGUCAGAGCUUGACCUCUGUUGAGAAAACCCUCUUUUUAUUUUUCAAAAAAAGCAUUUAUGAAGCAGGAAAUGAGGGCUGAAGAAAAGGAAAAGAGUGUCAGAUGAAUGGACAGAGAAAGGGGGACAGAGGCAAAGAAUGAGAGAAUGGAGAGCGUGGUCUGCGAGAGAAAGAGAGAGAGAGAGAGAGAGGUGGGAGAAAGAGUGCCGGUGCUGGCAAGAAAAACAGGAGGGGGAAGAGCAGAGAAGGGGGACCAGUAGGGGAUAAACUUUGGAAGGAGGGACGGCCGGAUAGGAAUCGUCCAAAUCGCAGGGAAAAAGAGGGAAAAGAACAAAACUCUAGAAUGAGAAGAAGCUGGACUUCAUUUCUUUGCGGUCGUAUAUUUUUUUUUCUGGCUCCUUGACAUGAUUUUUCAUCACUUCUCCGAUCACCCUCUCAUUCCUCUGUUGAGGUUCUGAGAGAAGACGUUUUUUAUCAGGAAUGCCGUGGUCAACCAUAGAAGCUCCCCAGUGAGAGGAGAGCCAUGGGAAAACCUCAGACUAGAUCUUGGGCGUGAGGUAAAUGCUUUAGCAACAUCUGUUUCUUCCCUUUUAUAGCAACAAAGACUCUUUGAAUCUGCCUGAAAUGCAAGAGAGAGCAAACAGCUUGAGAGAUCACAGCUAAAGAUGGUGAGUGUCAGCUGCAAGUAUACAGAGAGACGCUUGAAUUUCCAUGUCGCUGAGCCUCUUUCUCUUCUCUGACAGUCUCUUCAUUGUCUCUGCCUGUCUCUCUAAUUUAUCUCUGAUCAUAAAACACAAGCUUCUUGCAUUUAGAUGCAACAUUGUGAUACUUCAGCCACUAUAGACAGACUAGUUCUUGACUGUUGUGCAAUGAUGUGCACCAACCGGAUGAAAGGAGACCAAAUCAGAAAGCCAUUAUGUAUUUAAUUUAACAAAAUCAUAAAUGGCUCUCUUGCCUGAUUAGCAGUGCUUUCUCCCAAUUCUUUCUUUCAUACACUUUCCCAUCUCCUACUCAUAUGUACAAGACAUCAUGCACACACACACACACACACACACACACACAUACUGGCCGACAAUACCCAAUAGCCAUUAACAACAGUGCCCUAGCAACCAUCGGGCAUCAUGCCAAGUGGCUGAGGUUGCCUGGUAGCGUGUUCCCAUGGCAACGUUUUCAGCCUUAGUAAAUAAGGUACGGGGAGAGCAAAAAAGAGGGGUUCAGGAGAAAUUGCACCACAGAAUCUCAUUCUAUCUUGAGAGAGCUAAUGAUUAAUAGUUUGUUUGUUGUGGGUACUCGUCCUAGUAUUUGUCAACUGACUGAAGAAGGCAUCGUGUCAACAGGGGCCUCAUCCCCUCGCUACACAUUGUCACAUCCAGUUUUUAGGGGUGCGGCGAGCAUGUAGUCUUUGUCUUCCUUCUCUUCCGGUGAAUCAUUAGAUAUAACUGGGAAGAAACAACCAGACUUAACUCACUCGAAGUUAAUUCAAUGUUAAAACAUGUUUUCUGUUCUCUAUUAAUGAAGAAAAAAAGAACCAAAAUGACCUUUUGCCUUCAGCGGUCCUUGGCCUGGCGUUUGAGAGGCGCCGUGUGAGGUUUGCAUUCCUGUUGAGUUGGCACUCGCCAGGCGUUUCAUCACUGUGGUUAACAGUUUAUUUGCUGUCACUGGGCAGAUUUCCCUCGUCUGUGCCCCUUCACUGUCUCUGCGUCUCUCCUCAAAGACAAUGAGUGGUGGAGAGUCACCUGAAGUCUUUGUUUUGCCUAAUCGGCACACACCGUAAAGAAAUAAUUAGCGCUUGCUUUCAGUAAUUAUCUGUCAUUAUUAUGUCUUUAGGUUUGUCAAUAUAUUUUGGUUCUUGUUUUUUGUGUAAAACACCAUGAGCUCUUUAGCAGUUGAUGGCAACUUCUGUCAGGCCAUUGUUGUUUAACAUAUUUUGUGUAAAAUCCGUCAUGCAUCCAUAUGUUUUACAUUUUCUUAGUGAAAACAAACGGAUUUCAAAAAUCUUUUUCAGAGUCUCUAUUUGCAGUAUCCGCAUAUAUAUUUCUAUAAUCACACACCUGUAUAAGCAUGUAUAAACUGGUUGUGAUUAGAAAAUGCCACUUUAAUCUCACUUGAUACAUGUAUUAUCAACAGGACAUUAUGAAAUGUCUCGUCCCGCUCGGCAUUCUGGCAUUAUCUGCGUCCUCAUGGGCCAAAUCUUGUGGUUUAUGAUAUAUAUAUAUAUAUAU